GAUAAACGCUGGCGGCGUGCUUAACACAUGCAAGUCGAACGAAGUUUUUCCUUCGGGAGAAACUUAGUGGCGGACGGGUGAGUAACGCGUGGGUAACCUGCCCUGUACAGGGGGACAACAGCUGGAAACGGCUGCUAAUACCGCAUAAGCCCUUAGCACUGCAUGGUGCAUAGGGAAAAGGAGCAAUCCGGUACAGGAUGGACCCGCGUCUGAUUAGCCAGUUGGCAGGGUAACGGCCUACCAAAGCGACGAUCAGUAGCCGAUCUGAGAGGAUGUACGGCCACAUUGGGACUGAGACACGGCCCAGACUCCCACGGGAGGCAGCAGUGGGGAAUAUUGCACAAUGGAGGAAACUCUGAUGCAGCGACGCCGCGUGAGUGAAGAAGUAUUUCGGUAUGUAAAGCUCUAUCAGCAGGGAAGAAAAUGACGGUACCUGACGAAGAAGCACCGGCUAAAUACGUG
RNAcentral lists this ribosomal RNA (462 nucleotides) under uncultured bacterium. Its description in RNAcentral is "partial 16S ribosomal RNA". It matches the Rfam family "Bacterial small subunit ribosomal RNA", at positions 28 to 507 of the family's 1533-position model. The record is from RNAcentral.